RNAcentral lists this ribosomal RNA (506 nucleotides) under Trevathana mizrachae. RNAcentral's name for it is "partial 16S ribosomal RNA". It matches the Rfam family "Bacterial large subunit ribosomal RNA", at positions 1809 to 2593 of the family's 2925-position model. The record is from RNAcentral. Lineage: Eukaryota; Metazoa; Arthropoda; Thecostraca; Balanomorpha; Pyrgomatidae.
AAAAACAUUUCCUCCUAGAUCAGGAGGUAAGGCCUGCUCACUGAAGAUUUAAAGAGCCGCAGUAUCCUGACUGUGCUAAGGUAGCAUAAUCAUUAGUCUUUUAAUUGAGGACUGGUAUGAAUGGCUUAACGAGAAAUUGACUUUUUUUGUUAUAUAAAUCGAAUUUAAUUUUUUAGUGAAAAAGCUAAAAUUUUUCAGAAAGACGAGAAGACCCUAUAGAGUUUCAUGUUCAAUUAUAUUUUUAAUUAUUAGACUUUUUAAUUAUUGAUAUAAUAAAACAUUUUGUUGGGGCGACAUUAAGAUAUAAAAAACUCUUAUUUUUUAAAAUUUUUUUGAAAAUAUUUAUUGAUCCUUUAAAAAAGAUUAUAAGAAGAAAUUACCUUAGGGAUAACAGCGUAAUCUUUUUUGAGAGUUCUAAUCGACAAAAAGGUUUGCGACCUCGAUGUUGGACUAAAAUUUAGACAAGGUGUAGCAGCUUUGUUUUAAGGUCUGUUCGACCUAUAAUA